UACGUAGGGCGCAAGCGUUAUCCGGAAUUAUUGGGCGUAAAGAGCUCGUAGGCGGUUUGUCGCGUCUGCCGUGAAAGUCCGGGGCUCAACUCCGGAUCUGCGGUGGGUACGGGCAGACUAGAGUGAUGUAGGGGAGACUGGAAUUCCUGGUGUAGCGGUGGAAUGCGCGGAUAUCAGGAGGAACACCGGUGGCGAAGGCGGGUCUCUGGGCAGUAACUGACGCUGAGGAGCGAAAGCGUGGGGAGCGAACAGG
This 253-nucleotide ribosomal RNA is filed under the name uncultured bacterium. Its description in RNAcentral is "partial 16S ribosomal RNA". It matches the Rfam family "Bacterial small subunit ribosomal RNA", at positions 524 to 776 of the family's 1533-position model. The record is from RNAcentral.